Molecule: long non-coding RNA, 398 nt
Organism: Monopterus albus (swamp eel)
Lineage: Eukaryota; Metazoa; Chordata; Actinopteri; Synbranchiformes; Synbranchidae
Exons: 4
Source: RefSeq, a predicted model, not a curated record
GCAGAUCCACCAAGACCUGAGGGAGGAGUUGGCCAAAGUGAAGACCCUUGAGUGUUUGGCUGAUGUCAGCAGACGGCUGAGACUGCGCUGCCAGGAGGAGAUAGCAAGAGGCAAAGAUUUGGAAGAGACAGAGGGUUGCCUGCCUUUCCCCCACUGGAUCUGCCAACCAUAUGUUAGACCUGUGCCAAAGGAGCCAGUUGCCAAUGGUAACAGCCAGGGGUCAGAGGUGAAGAAGACAGUGUGCCAGAAAAGGGCACUAGAGGUCUCUGAUGGAUCUGCUGACACUCUCUCCAAAAACAAGCAGAAGAAGAGAUCCCGCAACCCCAACAAGAACUUCUGUCCCAAGCAGAGACCAAAGUACAUCAAGUGUGAACAGUGUGGGAACCCGAAGGUAAGCA